Long non-coding RNA from Strongylocentrotus purpuratus (purple sea urchin), 311 nucleotides. RefSeq lists it as uncharacterized. The transcript is spliced from 3 exons. The record is from RefSeq and is a predicted model, not a curated record. Lineage: Eukaryota; Metazoa; Echinodermata; Echinoidea; Camarodonta; Strongylocentrotidae.
AGACUUACGUCCCCUUGCCCCCCAGAAGAGAUUGGACAGAUCAAAUCUUCUACAGACUUUUAUUUGGACUUCAGAGGCUUCUUACCAGAUGGGCUGUUUCAUCGGUUGAUGGCGAGAACAGUCAGAUGGAUACGUGAAAGAGAUGGAGAACCAGUCACUCUUUUCCAUCGUCACAUCAGUCUAAUGGUUGAUGGAGUGCAUCAUGCCUUAAUAGAGAUGUUACCUCCUUGUGAAGCAACUAUCAAGGUCAUUGUAUAUCAAGGACCGGUUGCAGAUCCUGAUAAUGAUGGGGAUAGCAAUACACCUCCAGU